RNAcentral lists this ribosomal RNA (253 nucleotides) under uncultured bacterium. RNAcentral's name for it is "partial 16S ribosomal RNA". It matches the Rfam family "Bacterial small subunit ribosomal RNA", at positions 524 to 776 of the family's 1533-position model. The record is from RNAcentral.
UACGUAGGUGGCAAGCGUUGUCCGGAUUUACUGGGUGUAAAGGGCGUGUAGCCGGGCUGACAAGUCAGAUGUGAAAUCCGGGGGCUCAACCCCCGAACUGCAUUUGAAACUGUUGGUCUUGAGUAUCGGAGAGGCAGGCGGAAUUCCUAGUGUAGCGGUGAAAUGCGUAGAUAUUAGGAGGAACACCAGUGGCGAAGGCGGCCUGCUGGACGACAACUGACACUGAGGCUCGAAAGCGUGGGGAGCAAACAGG